This 228-nucleotide ribosomal RNA is filed under the name uncultured bacterium. RNAcentral describes it as "partial 16S ribosomal RNA". It matches the Rfam family "Bacterial small subunit ribosomal RNA", at positions 113 to 334 of the family's 1533-position model. The record is from RNAcentral.
ACACGUGGGUAACCUGCCCAUCAGAGGGGGAUAACAUUCGGAAACGGAUGCUAAAACCGCAUAGGUCUUCGAACCGCAUGGUUUGAAGAGGAAAAAAGGCGCAAGCUUCUGCUGAUGGAUGGACCCGCGGUGCAUUAGCUAGUUGGUGAGGUAACGGCUCACCAAGGCCGUGAUGCAUAGCCGACCUGAGAGGGUGAUCGGCCACAUUGGGACUGAGACACGGCCCAA